CAAUAUUGACCCAAAAUCCGAAUAGUAUUCACUUGACCACUGACUCUUUUUCUUGUUUUUCAAAUUAAAAUAAAUGACCCGGUAUUGCAAACACGGCCUUCCAGCAUCUCGGGGACAAAGAUUUUAAGGCUGUGAGGGUCAAAAAUCAAAAUAUGACCAAAGGUAACUAUUUAUGCAAAGUCAGCCUUUCGGUGCCCCGUUUGGGAAUAUUUGGCUAUUUUUGAUAAAAACGGCAUCACCUGGUUUAUUUAUGACAAAAAUUAAAAUUUUGAGAUUUUUUGGGCUAUUUUUUGUAAAGGGGAGGUUGGACCCGAUAAGGGUUUCCUACGUAUCUCACGCCCGGUGAGAAUCAAACCAUGCAUAGUUCGGAAAAAUUAACCAAACUAUUUUAAAAGAAGACUCUUUU
RNAcentral lists this long non-coding RNA (406 nucleotides) under Nicotiana benthamiana. RNAcentral describes it as "long non-coding RNA (NBEN_LNC023198)". The record is from RNAcentral. Lineage: Eukaryota; Viridiplantae; Streptophyta; Magnoliopsida; Solanales; Solanaceae.